UUUAAGGCAAUAUUGUGAUUGGUCCGCGCAUGGACAAUCGGACUAACGGACGGUAACCAUCAGUUCAUUUAUGAAGUAAGCCGAGGGAGGACGAAGGACCGCGCGUUCGUGUUGAUCUUGGGUAUUUAGAUAUCAAGUGUAUAAAUUACGUAUUUCUGGUGUUUUCUAAUAUUUUACUCUUCUGUAUGAACGCUGUUCUCUAUGGAGUCAGUGGAGUGUGUAUGGAACAAUAACAGAUGGUGGUGGGGGCAGUGCAUAACAGUGAACAAGACGGCUUGAAAGAAACCUGCUGCGUGUGAAGGAAUGCCGUGUGGACGGUGAGUUGAAUUUUAGUCUUUAAGUAUUUAUAACAUGUAUUUACUCAUUGUUUUAUCCGCUGCUCGUGUAUUUUGGCACUUUGUUCAUCCGAGCCGUGGAAAAAUUGACUGGGAUUCCCGCCUUGCUUGAUAUUCAUUGAUGUAGAUGUGGCCGCGCAUUUCUCUCGCGUAUUUUAUCUUAGCGUUGGUGCCAAGAUGUUCAAUUAGGAUAGGAUGUAUAAGGAUAACAAGCGUGUGUGUGUGUGUGUGUGUGUGUGUGUGUGUGUGUGUGUGUGCCGCUGUUUGUACUAAUCUUGGCACUUAACAUCGACUAGACAGAUUUCUUCGUACGAACUCAUCCGCAACUAAAGCUACACGUAAAUGCGCCUUAUAUUUCUACAUGCGAAGCUGUCUACUGCUAUUAAGGUUUGAAGGGGUGCAGUGUUACCAGCGAUAUAUCACAGCUGUGCCUCUAGCGUUGGCUACAUUGAGGAUACACUACAGUAUUACGUCCUGUUUUGUCCUGGGGUAUCCGAGGUCACCGAAUUAAGUAUUUACACGUGAUUAUUAUUGUUAUUAUUAAUAUUACUAUCAUUAUUAUUAAGUGUUAUUAACUAUGGACGUUAUGACUCAUCGUGCGACCCUCUCAGGAGUCAGGACUAAUUAACCUGCACGGAGUAGCGUAAUCAGGUACAUAAACAAGGUCAAAGUACACAAGUAAACUUAGACUCCUCACACACAAAUGUUUCCGUGUGUUUGAUGUCGCUCCAUUCUGGAAACAUGGGACUGUUCAUACGAGCACCAGCAUUCAUGAUGUUAUGCGAAUACUCAAGCUAACAAGACGUCCAAUGGCGAACAUCCUCAGCGGCAGCAGUAACAGCGGGACUCCUGACACCAGUUUCUGUCGUGCACACAACACUACGGGCUGCUCGUGUCGCAUCCUUCAGACGAGCAGCAGCUGACAACCAGUCAUUCGAAAAAAGUGACUCGAUGCCAGGCCACCACAACAGAAAGAGGCAGAGACACGCAUAUUUGAAUCCUUCCAUUGAAGAAUACAAGGAACAUAAGACUUCCAGAAACAGUUAAAGACUUUGGUGUAUGACCUUUUUCAAGUCUUCAUACGUGGAGUGUCAAAUCGAGGAGUGAAGGAGGAAGGCACACUUGACAGGAGGCUGCACUCAUGACUCACCAGCGUCGUCCCUGCUACGAUGAAAGAUCCUCGCCGUAGUGAGAAACACCAGCACUUAUUGUCUAUACCGCACGUCAUCACCACCACCACUACCACCACCACCACUUCUACUGCUACAGGUGCUCCUCAGGUAUGCAGCGGUCCCUCAAGGUGUGUAGGUACGAGUGUUACGAGGGUCAGGACGGGUGACUGAUAGCCGUGCCUCCGUGUUAACGUAUAGAUCAAGUACUGUUAGUGUUGGUGGAGAGAGGGGGAGGUGCACGUGUGUGUAUGUGUGUGUGUUUGUAUGUGUGUGUGUGCGUCGGAGGUGGAACACUUGCGCAGAUGUGUGAGUUCGUUAUAAACUCAACCCGUGUAUCUCUCGCCGCUGCUGCCAGACG
Scylla paramamosain (green mud crab) is the source of this 1865-nucleotide long non-coding RNA. RefSeq lists it as uncharacterized. The transcript has 3 exons. The record is from RefSeq and is a predicted model, not a curated record. Lineage: Eukaryota; Metazoa; Arthropoda; Malacostraca; Decapoda; Portunidae.